GGAUGUAUAGCUCAAAUGGUUAGAGCAACCCGCUCAUAACGGGUUGGUUGUAGGUUCAAGUCUGCUACAUCCACCA
This 76-nucleotide transfer RNA is filed under the name Helicobacter magdeburgensis. RNAcentral describes it as "tRNA-Met". It matches the Rfam family "tRNA". From Rfam's summary of the family: Transfer RNA (tRNA) molecules are approximately 80 nucleotides in length. Lineage: Bacteria; Pseudomonadati; Campylobacterota; Epsilonproteobacteria; Campylobacterales; Helicobacteraceae. The record is from RNAcentral.